UCGGGAAUUUUGGGCAAUGGGCGAAAGCCUGACCCAGCAACGCCGCGUGAAGGAUGAAGUAUUUCGGUAUGUAAACUUCGAAAGAAUAGGAAGAAUAAAUGACGGUACUAUUUGUAAGGUCCGGCUAACUACGUGCCAGCAGCCGCGGUAAUACGUAGGGACCAAGCGUUGUUCGGAUUUACUGGGCGUAAAGGGCGCGUAGGCGGUGUGUCAAGUCAGUUGUGAAAUCUCCGAGCUUAACUCGGAACGGUCAACUGAUACUGUCACACUAGAGUACAGAAGGGGCAAUCGGAAUUCUUGGUGUAGCGGUGAAAUGCGUAGAUAUCAAGAGGAACACCUGAGGCGAAGGCGGGUUGCUGGGCUGAUACUGACGCUGAGGCGCGAAAGCUAGGGUAGCAAACGGGAUUAGAUACCCCGGUAGUCCCUGAGCGGGCUGGCAAGGCGCAU
RNAcentral lists this ribosomal RNA (447 nucleotides) under uncultured bacterium. RNAcentral describes it as "bacterial SSU rRNA". It matches the Rfam family "Bacterial small subunit ribosomal RNA", at positions 355 to 825 of the family's 1533-position model. The record is from RNAcentral.